GGCUGUAAUGGUUCAAUGGUGAAGACUCUCGUACUUUUCUUGCGUCUUCCGCACCAAACCCCGUCAGAUCCCCUCUGGCUGGCGCCCAGUUCGAACGCUGCGGUGAUCGCCCGCUCGCAUGGGUAACCUGCGACGUCGGUAAACAAUGUUCGCAUUGCGGUCCUAAGCACUGAAGAUUAUUCUUGAGGGAGGUUUCACUCUGCAGAGGCAUCUUCCCCGUCGCGUGGCGAAUUGGAUUACGACCCUAGAGGGAACUUUGGGCUGGUUGCGCGAGAAGGAGAAGCUCAACUUCACUUUU
Molecule: signal recognition particle RNA, 298 nt
Filed under: [Torrubiella] hemipterigena
Lineage: Eukaryota; Fungi; Ascomycota; Sordariomycetes; Hypocreales; Clavicipitaceae
Description: Torrubiella hemipterigena Fungal signal recognition particle RNA
Rfam family: Fungal signal recognition particle RNA
Source: Rfam by way of RNAcentral